ACCGGUUGAUCCUGCCGGAGGGAACCCCUAUCGGGUUCAGACUAAGCCAUGCGAGUCGGCUGGGGGCACUUGCCCCUGGCGGCGCACGGCUCAGUAAUACGCGGUCACCCUACCCUGGGGACCGGGAUAACCUCGGGAAACUGAGGCUAAUCCCGGAUGGGUGUAGGGUGCUGAAAUGCCCCUACGCCGAAAGUAGGCGGG
The sequence is a ribosomal RNA, 201 nucleotides long. It matches the Rfam family "Archaeal small subunit ribosomal RNA", at positions 1 to 200 of the family's 1478-position model.